Molecule: long non-coding RNA, 9709 nt
Filed under: Triticum aestivum (bread wheat)
Lineage: Eukaryota; Viridiplantae; Streptophyta; Magnoliopsida; Poales; Poaceae
Description: long non-coding RNA (TAES_LNC027767)
Source: RNAcentral
CACCGACGCCCGCGCCCCGCCAACCGUCGCCACCUCACCGGACCACUACGUCGCCGGCCGUCGCCGCCUUGUCCUCCAUGACUUCCUCGACCUCUUACCCGCCCCGACCUCGCUGACGGACGUCGCUCGCCGGAGCCGCUCCGCGUCGCCUCGCCUCCUCAUCUCUUCCUCAACCGGCCUCCUCGAGCCUCGCUGGCGUACCCCUGCAUCGGGGGUGAGCGCCUUCCCUCCUCUCCUUUAUGUCCCGUCGUAGGACGCCGUUCACCGCGUUCACCUGCUCUCUGACCGCGCGUGCCCGCACCUGCAACCCCUCCAUGGCCGCGCCCGGGGCCUACGCCCGCGCCCUGGCUACUCCGGCCUCGCUUCCGCAACCCCCGCUGCCCACACCAUUGCGCCCACCCCGCGUCGCUGCUCGCCGCUGUCGCGACGCCUCCCGCUCGUCCGACCGACCGCACGUGGCCUCUGUGCCCGCCGACGCUCGCCGUGCACCUGUGCGCAAGCACAGCCGCGACCACGGCUGGUGCCAAUGACAGUCGGGGCCCGACCCCUGUGAACGAAAGUAAAAAAAAAUCAAUGUAAAAUAAAUUAAAUUGUUAAUAAUCAAUUAAUUAAUUAAAUGGUUAUUUAAACUUAAUUAAAGUUUCCUUAAUUAAUUUAACAGUAGUUAACUUGUUUCUUAGUCUGUUAGUUUAUGACAUGCGGGCCCAGCCUUUUGCUUAAUAAAAUGUGUUAGUUAAAUUAGUUUAACCCUGAGUCACUUACAUGUGGGACCCGCAAAACUGUUCUUUGAGAUUAGGUUGACUAGGUCAGCUGCUGACUCAGCAGUGGGGCCCUCUGUCAGCCCCACUUACACAUCUCUGGGUACACUCUCUGUGUACCCAUAGCAAUUACACUUGUUAUAUUUUCGAAUAAAAUAAAUCCUGUUAUUUUUAGAAAUGGUUUAAUCUUUGAAAAUUAAUAUAAAUUAAUCCGUAACUCGGAUGAAAAUGUUUUAUACAUGAAAGUUGCUCAAAAUGAGGAGACGAAUCCGAAUACGCGGUCCUUUCAUCCGCCACACGUCCCUAGCAUAGCAAACAUUGAACUUUCCCCUUCCGGUUCAUCUGUUUGACAGACGUCCGGAACCGGGAGAACUUUCCCGGAUGUUUCCCCCUUCGCCAGUAUUGCCUAGCGUUGCGUUAGAACACCUCUAGCCUCGCUUAUUGCCGCGUUAUGCUUUGUAAUGCUAUGUUUGCGUGUAUUUACUGUUUCUUCCUCCUCUUCUUCUCCGGUAGACCUCGAGACCGAUGCUGAUGUCCCUGUGAUCGACUACGUCGACGACGACCCUCCUUUUUGUCUGAGCAACCAGGCAAGCCCCCUUUUGAUCAUCCCGAUAUCGCCCAUUCUAUACUCUCAUGCUUGCAUUAGAUUUUGCUACUGUUAUUGAUUGCUCCUAUUCUGAUGCAUAGCCUGCUUUUGUACCUACUGUUGUACCUUACCUGCUUAUCCUAAACUGCUUAGUAUAGGUUGGAUAGUGAUCCAUCAGUGACCUCCACCUUGUCCUUAUUGCCCCUGCUUCAUCAUCGACGACUCGAGCUACAUGAUCGACGACCAGAGCCUGACACCGCACAUCACAUCACGCCCCUUUAGUUGUUCGACUCUGCAGAGCUACUAUCGAGUGCCGAGGGUGAUCCCUCAUAACGCACUCCUGAUGAUAAUUCUGUAGUGUAGCUAUUCAGUCGUGGUCAUCGAGGGUGAUUUCCUCCUUCACCAUUCCCGAUACGGCUCUGUCGUGCAACCCCUCAAGUGUGAACCUCAAGGGUGGUUCCUCUUACGUUCACCUUGAUGAUUACAUCGAUUGGAAUCCUCCGAGGGUGAUUCCUUGGGUUUUCCCCUUGAUGUUUGGAUACGGUUACCUUGACAUUACUUGAGACCUUUGGGAAAGUCGGGCGGGCCCGGAGAGUACCCGCAAGAUGGUUACGAGGCACGGCCGGGAAGUCUGGCAGCCCUCGAGUGGGCUGGGCUUGCCCUUGUCGUAUUUCCUCGAGACGGGGCGACGGGGUCACCUUGUCGUGAGUCUCUGCUCGUCUCCGCGAGCUAAUAAUACACUAUGGUUUGGGUAUUUGUUCUGAAUUGGCCUUUGGCCUUUUUGCACCAACCACCACGCGAGAAUAGUUAUGGGCCUCGGCGUCGUGGUAUCAGCCGAAGCUUUGUCAGACGUCCAGUUCAGCAGUGCGGCACGGUCGGAUCGUGCUGGCCAUCCGAGGCGGUGCUAGUAUUCACCCUGCACGCAACAAUCCGGAGUGCAACGGGCGAUGGGCCCAGACCCCGGAGUGCUUAGGAUGUAGACCGGCGGGGACCUCUCUGCUGAGCCUAGGUCGGGCUGCGACGUGUUGAUCUUCCGAGGGCGGGCAUUGACCCCAGAAAGGUGUGUCCGGCCAGAGUGAUCGAGUUUGUUGGGUAACGUGGUGCACCCCUGCAGGGAAGAUCUUUAGUCGAAUACCGUGUCCACGGUAAUGGACGUUCAGACUUAUAUCUUGAUCUAAUACAACUAGAAAUGGAUACUUAAGAUAUGUGGCUUCGGGAUUGCUUUCUCGCAGGGAAUCGAGGAAGGAUCUCUGGGCAUUAAUGUUACAACAUGUUUGAUAAUUAUAAACUGCUAUUCUUUACCCUUCUACAUGCUGCAAGAUGCUUGGAGCUGCUUGAAGAUGCUAGUCUUCGAUAGGCUAGGCCUUCCCCUCUAUUCUGGCAUUCUGCAGUUCAGUCCACAGAUACAAAUCUUCCAUUUGAUACCAGUGCAUACUUAGUAUAGAUCUGAUGCUUGCAAGCACUUUGGAUGAGUACUCACGGUUGCUUUGCUACCCCUUUUCCCCCUUCUUUCUUCUUUCCGGUUGAUGCAACCAGAUGGUGGAUCCUUGGAGCUAGAUGCCACCGCCGACGGAUACUACUACAUGGAGGCCACCGAAGACCAGGAGUAGUUAGGAGGUCCCAGGCAGGAGGCCUUGCCUCUUCGAUCGUGUUGCUUUUGUGCUGGCCUUCUUAAGGCAGACUUGUUUAACUUAUGUCUGUACUCAGAUAUUGUUGCUUCCGCUGACUCUCUUGUGUAUCGAGCUAUGUAUUCGAGCCCUCGAGGCCCCUGGCUUGUAAUAUAAAGCUUGUAUUAUUUUAUUUGUGUCUAGAGUUGUGUUGUGAUAUCUUCCCGUGAGUCCCUGAUCUUGAUCGUACAUAUUUGCGUGUAUGAUUAGUGUACGGUCGAAUCGAGGGCGUCACAAGUUGGUAUCAGAGCCGACUGCUUGUAGGAUCCCCCUUUCCAACUCCUUGGCCGAAGUUGAGUCUAGUCUUUGAAAAAAACUGAUUUACUAACAUGGCUGUGCGGCUUACGGGCCCACGUCACCAUUGGGUGGUAUUAGAAUCUUUUACUCCUCCUCUAUACUCUGGGACUCUAAUCUCUCUUCUAUUCGGGUUAAAUGGUUUUGUUAACUCUAACUCUAGGUUCUCGUAAAUACUUUCUCCCAGAGAGCCCCUCACACCAGAUGAUUGCUUGGUGCACUAGAAGAUCCUGAAGAUACUCUCCGAUGUUUUACCGAAUCCCUCGUACCCUUCACCGUUGCGAUCCCUAACACCGAUAAAUCCUUAUGCGUAACUACCUACGUUGUCGUUCAUACCUUCAUCCCUAGUUGCUCUUGUUAAUACAAGAUGUCCUGAAAUACUCUCUGAUGUUCCGAGAACCCUUUAUGCUUACUGCCCUGCAGUUCCUUGCCGCAUGAAUACCCCUAUGGAUAAUUACUCGCUCUUAUCGAGUAUCCAUUCAUCCCUAGUUAUUCUUAUGCUUCAUAAGAUACUUUUUAAUACAAUCCGAGUUUUCGAUGACCUCUGCUGCCUGUUGCUCUAGAAGGUCUUACCUCCCUACACCCUGGUUAAUUCCAUAUGCCUAGCAGUAUCCAUUGACGUCCUUUGUCAUUAUCAUCUUGAGUCUUUCGAUUGGAUAUGUUUAUGUCGCAAUCAUCAGUUGAUCCUUAUAAAUUAUCAUUCCUGCUCAAACGUCUUCCUGAACAUGAGUUGGUUCUCGGCCAAUCAGAUUGCCAUCGGUUGUGCCAAAGUCUAUUCAACUUAUCCAUUCUUGAUCAGAACGUUUGCUUCUGAUCCCUUGAUGUGGGAAUCAUAAUUCAUUUGCAUUUGAACUCUGAAUUAGUCAGUUGCUUCUAUAAUCUGACCUCCUUGCAUUCUUCCUUCUUCUGGUUGAGUACCGUUGCUCACAUCAGAUCCCUCGUGGACCACCAGAUUCUUGGUGUAUUUUAUCCGACAACAUCCUUCAUAUUCAGUAACCUUGUGAGCUUUUCCUCGGAUACAUAAUACCUUUGGUAAGUUGUAUCCCCGCUCUUGUCAACCAUACUCUGCUUUCGGGCUUGAGUUAUUUACUCAUGAAGUUGGUGAUAUAUGUCCUAAGAUGUCCCUAUGGGUUGAAUCUUUGUCUUCCCUAAAUCCGCGUAAACUCAAAAGUUAUGCGGGUUAUGCUCUACUGGCUUUUCGUCAGGUGAAAAUUUCAACACUACAACCUCUUCGAAUGCGGGAAGUGAAUGGAAAGUUGUGCAUUAGAGAAGUGGGAGUCGACCUUGAACCUGUGUCUUCAUGCCCAUGGACCCGAUGUGGAACUUAUCAUGGAAGCUUCUUGUAAUAAUAUUUAUCCCCUUGUGGUAAGUUUAUCUUGUAUCUAUGUUUGGUCCUUUGCAACCGUGGUUCCGACCAUAUUGUUCUUCUUUGAUCCCAUUUCUCGGACAAUUUAAAGUACUUGCCUUUUGCAGAUCUUUUCACCUGUCCAAUCCCUAUUCUGCUCUACCCUCGAGCAUUACCCUGUGGUAUCUCGAGAAUAUCACGGAACUACAUAACUUCUUAUGAGUUCUUCCUCAACUUUUUAUUUCCCACUGAUUCCAAUUUUCCAUGGGUCCUGAGUUGUUAGUCACUCGAGAACACCGAUAACUGAUUCGAGUCUACACUUUUCCUCCCAUUGUCUUGGUUAACCUUUCUUGUAACCAAUCAUAUUGGAGCAGUGAUAAUUCCAUGCUUAUGUAAACACCUCGUCGUGCAAACUCUGUUAGUAAGACCUUGUUACUAUUGUUGAUGACAUUUUCGUAGCCACCGAUGGACGAGAACUUUGCCUAUUGGUCCGCCUCGUUUAACGAGCAGGAAAAUGGUUCUCUUCGUCCCUCGCCCUUGGUACCAAUGUUGUUGCCAACAUAACUGAUAGGCUAUACUCUGACCUGCCUUGCUAUCGCGACCGUGCAAAAUGUUAGCCACCUUCCUGCUUUAACCCACAUGAUGGGCCCAUAACCCAUAGUUCCACAGGAUCGAAACCUGACUCUCCCGUACACCCCCCUGUUUCCAAAGCUAUUCCCCAAGUUGUUUCCAUAUGAAAAUCAUGAACUAACUUCCUCGCCAUGUUUCAUUCUGGUAUCAAAGACAACAUUAUUCUUCAUUACUCUGAACCCCUUUCCACCCUCUGUUUCAGUCAAUGAACGGUUGUCUACCCGUUUGAAACUUCUUAUUGCACCUCCUUACCUUGCUCUCGAUGACUUUCUUGAAUUUCAAUUCGAGGGAUGCCUCUAUGCCACGUUCAUUGAGAUAACCCUAGGUAUCUAUCCUGUGAUGGACUCCGUCCUUCCCGAGUCUUUCCCCCUUACUCCACCCCUUAAAUCUCGGGACGAGAUUUCUUUUAGUGGAGGAGAAUUGUGACGCCCGGAUAAUGAAGCUAUAGUAAUCCCCUAUUAAUGGUGCCAUGUCAUCACAUUUACUGUUGCUAAAUCCCACGUUGUUUCAAACCGGUUCAAAUUUCAUUUUCAAUUUAAAGUCAAAAUUCAAAAUUCUCGAGCGGUAAAACUAAAAUGUUCGGAUAAUUCUAUAAAUUACCCUAACCUUUUGUCAAGUUGAGACAACUAAAUUCCUAGGGAUUUAAUAAGUGGUCCAAAGGCAUCUACAUUGGCCUUUUCAAUUAAGCAAAUCUUCUCAACCUUUGCGAGUGCCUCAAAAACUUUUCUGCAGCCCUAGGAUAUUGCAUAUCAUUUUUGUGCAAAGUUGGAGCUUCGACAAAAAUCAAUCACUAUCUAUUCUAAAUAAGAAACAAUAGCAUUUUUUAGGGAGAAAAAGAAAACAGUAACCCCCCUCCCCUAGUGGCCCUCGUGGCCCAGCUGGCCAUUCAGCCGGCCGGCCAGGCCGGCCCACACGCCCCCUCACACCCUCCCGGUAUAACCCUUCCCUGAAACCCUUGCCAGCCUAACCACCCCCACUCCCCCGAUCCCCACCCUCUCCCUCCAGCGCCGCCAGGGGAGAGCCCCACGCUCGGUCCCCCACUUCUCUCGCUCGUUGUCACGCCCCCCUGGGCGCUCCCUGUCCGAUUCCUCGCUCCUGAACCCCCCCCACUCCCCCUCGAUCUCUCUCUCCCUCGCCCCUCAGGAUCGAGAUCGGGAUCGGGCGCUCCUGUCGCCGCGUCGCCGCGUCACAGCUCACCGACGCCCGCGCCCCGCCAACCUUCGCCACCUCGCAGGACCACUACGUCGCCGGCCGUCGCCGCCUCGUCCUCCACGACUUCCUCGACCUCUUCCCCGCCCCGACCUCACUGACGGACGCCGCUCGCCGGAGCCGCUCCGCGUCGCCUCGCCUCCUCAUCUCUUCCUCAACCGGCCUCCUCGAGCCUCGCCGGCGUACCCCUGCAUCGGGGGUGAGCGCCUUCCCUCCUCUCCUCUAUGUCCCGUCGUAGGACGCCGUUCACCGUGUUCACCUGCUCUCUGACCGCGCGUGCCCGCACCUGCAACCUCUCCAUGGCCGCGCCCGGGGCCUACGCCCGCGCCCUGGCUACUCCGGCCUCGCUUCCGCAACCCCCGCUGCCCACACCAUUGCGCCCACCCCGCGUCGCUGCUCGCCGCUGUCGCGACGCCUCCCGCUCGUCCGACCGACCGCACGUGGCCUCUGUGCCCGCCUACGCUCGCCGUGCACCUGUGCGUAAGCACAGACGCGGCCACGGGUGGUGCCAAUGACAGUCGGGGCCCGACCCCUGUGAACGAAAGUAAAAAAAAAUUAAUGUAAAAUAAAUUAAAUUGUUAAUAAUCAAUUAAUUAAUUAAAUGGUUAUUUAAACUAAAUUAAAGUUUCCUUAAUUAAUUUAACAGUAGUUAACUUGUUUCUUAGUCUGUUAGUCUAUGACAUUGGGGCCCAGCCUUUUGCUUAAUAAAAUGUGUUAGUUAAAUUAGUUUAACCUUGAGUCACUUACAUGUGGGACCCGCAAAACUGUUCUUUCGGAUAAGGUUGACUAGGUCAGCUGCUGACUCAGCAGUGGGGCCCUCUGUCAGCCCCACUUACACAUCUCUGGGUACACUCUCUGUGUACCCAUAGCAAUUACUCCCUCUGUAAACUAAUAUAAGAGUGUUUAGAUCAUUAUUUUAGUAUUCUAAACGCUCUUAUAUUAAUUUACAGAGGGAGUACACUUGUUAUAUUUUCGAAUUAAAAUAAAUCCUGUUAUUUUUAGAAAUGGUUUAAUCUUUCAAAAUUAAUAUAAAUUAAUCCGUAACUCGGAUGAAAAUGUUUUAUACAUGAAAGUUGCUCAGAACGAUGAGACGAAUUCGAAUACGCAGUCCUUUCAUCCGCCACACGUCCCUAGCAUAGCAAACAUUAAACUUUCCCCCUCCGGCUCAUCUGUUUGACAGACGUCCGGAACCGGGAAAACUUUCCCGGAUGUUUCCCCCUUCGCCUGUAUCGCCUAGCGCUGCGUUAGAACACCUCUAGCCUCGCUUAUUGCCGCGUUAUGCUUUGUGAUGCUAUGUUUGCGUGUAUUUACUGUUUCUUCCCCCUCUUCUUGUCCGGUAGACCUCGAGACCGAUGCUGAUGUCCCUGUGAUCGACUACGUCAACGACGACCCUCCUUCUUGUCUGAGCAACCAGGCAAGCCCCCCCUUUGAUCAUCCCGAUAUCGCCCAUUCUAUACUCUCAUGCUUGCAUUAGAUUUUGCUACUGUUAUUGAUUGCUCCUAUUCUGAUGCAUAGCCUGCUUUUGUACCUACUGUUGUACCUUACCUGCUUAUCCUAAACAACUCAGUAUAGGUUGGAUAGUGAUCCAUCAGUGACCUCCACCUUGUCCUUAUUGCCCCUGCUUCAUCAUCGACGACUUGAGCUACAUGAUCGACGACCAGAGCCUGACACCGCACAUCACAUCAUGCCCCUUUAGUUGUUCGACUCUGCAGAGCUACUAUCGAGUGCCGACGGUGAUCCCUCAUAACGCACUCUUGAUGAUAAUUCUGUAGUGUAGCUAUUCGGUCGUGGUCAUCGAGGGUGAUUUCCUCCUUCACCAUUCCCGAUACGGCUCUGUCGUGCAACCCCUCAAGUGUGAACCUCGAGGGUGGUUCCUCUUACGUUCACCUUGAUGAUUACAUCGAGUGGAAUCCUCCAAGGGUGAUUCCUUGGGUUUUCCCCUUGAUGUUUGGACACACGGUUACCUUGACAUUACUUGAGACCUUUGGGAAAGUCGGGCAGGCCCGGAGAGCACCCGCAAGAUGGUUACGAGGCACGGCCGGGAAGUCUGGCAGCCCUCGAAUGGGCUGGGCUUGCCCUUGCCGUAUUUCCUCGAGAUGGGGCGACGGGGUCACCUUAUCGUGAGUCUCUGCUCGUCUCCGCGAGCUAAUAAUACACUAUGGUUUGGGUAUUUGUUUUGAAUUGGCCUUUGGCCUAUUCGCACCAACCACCACGUGAGAAUAGUUAUGGGCCUCGGCGUCGUGGUAUCAGCCAAGCUUUGUCAGACGUCUAGUUCAACAGUGCGGCACGGUCGGAUCGUGCUGGCCAUCCGAGGCAGUGCUGGUAUUCACCCUGCGCGCAACGAUCCGGAGUGCAAUGGGCGAUGGGCUCAGACCCCGGAGUGCUUAGGAUGUAGACCGGCGGGGACCUCUCUGCUGAGCCUAGGUCGGGCUGCGACGUGUUGAUCUUCUGAGGGCGGGCAUUGACCCCAGAAAGGUGUGUCCGACCAGAGUGAUCGCGUGUGGUGGGUAACGUGGUGCACCCCUGCAGGGAAGAUCUUUAUUCGAAUACCGUGUCCACGGUAAUGGACGUUUAGACUUAUAUCUUGAUCUAAUACAACUAGAAAUGGAUACUUAAGAUAUUGCUUUCUCGCAGGGAGUCAAGGAAGGAUCUCUGGGCAUUAAUGUUACAACAUGUUUGAUAAUUAUAAACUGCUAUUCUUUACCCUUCUACAUGCCACAAGAUGCUUGGAGCUGCUUGAAGAUGCUAGUCUUCGAUAGGCUAGGCCUUCCCCUCUAUUCUGGCAUUCUGCAGUUCAGUCCACAGAUACAAACCGUCCAUUUGAUACCAGUGCAUACUUAGUAUAGAUCUGAUGCUUGCGAGUACUUUGGAUGAGUACUCACGGUUGCUUUGCUACCCCUUUCCCCCCUUCUUUCUUCUUUCCGGUUGAUGCAACCAGAUGCUGGAUCCUUGGAGCUAGAUGCCACCGCCGACGGAUACUACUACAUGGAGGCCACUGAAGACCAGGAGUAGUUAGGAGGUCCCAGGCAGGAGGCCUUUCCUCUUCGAUCGUGUUGCUUUUGUGCUAGCCUUCUUAAGGCGGACUUGUUUAACUUAUGUCUGUACUCAGAUAUUGUUGCUUCCGCUGACUCUCUUGUGUAUCGAGCUAUGUAUUCGAGCCCUCGAGGCCCCUGGCUUGUAAUAUAAAGCGUGUAUUAUUUUAUUUGUGUCUAGAGUUGUG